This 77-nucleotide transfer RNA is filed under the name Vibrio vulnificus. Its description in RNAcentral is "tRNA-OTHER". The record is from RNAcentral. Lineage: Bacteria; Pseudomonadati; Pseudomonadota; Gammaproteobacteria; Vibrionales; Vibrionaceae.
UGUAGAAGCUGGUAUUACACCAGUACGGAUAACUCAUAAUCGAUUGGUCCCCAGUUCAAGUCUGGGAGGGGCCACCA